RNAcentral lists this ribosomal RNA (273 nucleotides) under Curtobacterium sp. Its description in RNAcentral is "partial 16S ribosomal RNA". It matches the Rfam family "Bacterial small subunit ribosomal RNA", at positions 564 to 836 of the family's 1533-position model. The record is from RNAcentral. Lineage: Bacteria; Bacillati; Actinomycetota; Actinomycetes; Micrococcales; Microbacteriaceae.
AGAGCUCGUAGGCGGUUUGUCGCGUCUGCUGUGAAUCCCGAGGCUCAACCUCGGGCUUGCAGUGGGUACGGGCAGACUAGAGUGCGGUAGGGGAGAUUGGAAUUCCUGGUGUAGCGGUGGAAUGCGCAGAUAUCAGGAGGAACACCGAUGGCGAAGGCAGAUCUCUGGGCCGUAACUGACGCUGAGGAGCGAAAGCAUGGGGAGCGAACAGGAUUAGAUACCCUGGUAGUCCAUGCCGUAAACGUUGGGCGCUAGAUGUAGGGACCUUUCCAC